Molecule: non-coding RNA, 905 nt
Organism: Notolabrus celidotus (New Zealand spotty)
Lineage: Eukaryota; Metazoa; Chordata; Actinopteri; Labriformes; Labridae
Source: the annotation of a RefSeq genome assembly
AUGACUCUGAUCUGCGUCCUCAUCUGGACUCUCCUCUGCUGCUGCUUCACAGAGUCCAGAGGACAGGUCACAGUGACUCAGCCUGCAGCAGUGAGCUCUGCUCCAGGAGGCUCCGUCACCAUCUCAUGCAGGAUCAGUCAGAAUGUUAACAAUAAUAACUAUCUGCACUGGUACCAACAGAAAGACGGAGAAACUCCUAAACUGCUCAUCUAUGUUACUAGCAAUCGAGCAUCAGGGAUUCCAGGUCGUUUUACAGGCAGUGGAUCUGGAUCUAGCUUCACUCUGACCAUCAGUGGAGUCCAGACUGAAGAUGCCGCAGUUUACUACUGUCAGAGUUAUCACAGUCCGUAUGUGUGGACUUUUGGUGGAGGAACCAGACUGGAUGUUGGAAGUGAUGCACGCCCCACCCUGACGGUGCUUCCCCCCUCCAUUGCGGAGCUGCAGAAGGGGCAUGCCACGGUCAUGUGCCUGGCCAACAAGGGCUUCCCCUCAGGCUGGAGUCUGGCCUGGAAGGUGGGAGGUGGCGGCAGCAGCAGCAUCAGCUGGGAGGAUAGCAAGAGCCCUGCUGUGCUGGAGAAGGACGGCCUCUACAGCUGGAUCAGCACCCUGAGCCUCACUGCAGACCAGUGGAUGAAGGUGGACUCUGUGACCUGUGAGGCCACCCAGGGCUCUCAGACUCUGGUCUCACAGUCCCUGAGCAGAGACCAGUGUCCCUAGUUCUGAUCUGACUCACUGGGACCCUGAUUCUGUUUGUUCUCUGUUCCUGCUCUCAGUCUAAACUCUCUGUCUCUGGUUCUCUCUUUCAAUCAUGACAUGUUUCAUGUUUCAACAUUUCACUGUUUCUACUCAUGCUGAUGGAUUCAAUGUUUUAAAACAAUAAAGAUUUUAUUAUGUAUAUCAUCAAA